UACGGAGGGGACUAGCGUUGUUCGGAAUUACUGGGCGUAAAGCGCACGUAGGCGGAUGUGUCAGUCAGGGGUGAAAUCCCGGAGCUCAACUUCGGAACUGCCUUUGAUACAGCACGUCUUGAGUCCGGAAGAGGUGGGUGGAAUUCCUAGUGUAGAGGUGAAAUUCGUAGAUAUUAGGAAGAACACCGGUGGCGAAGGCGGCCCACUGGUCCGGUACUGACGCUGAGGUGCGAAAGCGUGGGGAGCAAACAGG
Molecule: ribosomal RNA, 253 nt
Filed under: uncultured bacterium
Lineage: Bacteria
Description: partial 16S ribosomal RNA
Rfam family: Bacterial small subunit ribosomal RNA
Source: RNAcentral